Molecule: ribosomal RNA, 347 nt
Filed under: Shigella flexneri
Lineage: Bacteria; Pseudomonadati; Pseudomonadota; Gammaproteobacteria; Enterobacterales; Enterobacteriaceae
Description: partial 23S ribosomal RNA
Rfam family: Bacterial large subunit ribosomal RNA
Source: RNAcentral
GGUUAAGCGACUAAGCGUACACGGUGGAUGCCCUGGCAGUCAGAGGCGAUGAAGGACGUGCUAAUCUGCGAUAAGCGUCGGUAAGGUGAUAUGAACCGUUAUAACCGGCGAUUUCCGAAUGGGGAAACCCAGUGUGAUUCGUCACACUAUCAUUAACUGAAUCCAUAGGUUAAUGAGGCGAACCGGGGGAACUGAAACAUCUAAGUACCCCGAGGAAAAGAAAUCAACCGAGAUUCCCCCAGUAGCGGCGAGCGAACGGGGAGCAGCCCAGAGCCUGAAUCAGUGUGUGUGUUAGUGGAAGCGUCUGGAAAGGCGCGCGAUACAGGGUGACAGCCCCGUACACAAAA